GACCAGCGGAGGGAUCAUUACCGAGUUUACAACUCCCAAACCCCUGUGAACAUACCUAUACGUUGCCUCGGCGGAUCAGCCCGCGCCCCGUAAAACGGGACGGCCCGCCCGAGGACCCCUAAACUCUGUUUUUAGUGGAACUUCUGAGUAAAACAAACAAAUAAAUCAAAACUUUCAACAACGGAUCUCUUGGUUCUGGCAUCGAUGAAGAACGCAGCAAAAUGCGAUAAGUAAUGUGAAUUGCAGAAUUCAGUGAAUCAUCGAAUCUUUGAACGCACAUUGCGCCCGCCAGUAUUCUGGCGGGCAUGCCUGUUCGAGCGUCAUUUCAACCCUCAAGCUCAGCUUGGUGUUGGGACUCGCGGUAACCCGCGUUCCCCAAAUCGAUUGGCGGUCACGUCGAGCUUCCAUAGCGUAGUAAUCAUACACCUCGUUACUGGUAAUCGUCGCGGCCACGCCGUAAAACCCCAACUUCUGAAUGUUGACCUCGGAUCAGGUAGGAAUACCCGCUGAACUUAAGCAUAUCAAUAAGC
RNAcentral lists this ribosomal RNA (530 nucleotides) under Fusarium sp. PSU-ES123. RNAcentral describes it as "eukaryotic LSU rRNA". The stretch from base 170 to 323 matches the Rfam family "5.8S ribosomal RNA". The record is from RNAcentral. Lineage: Eukaryota; Fungi; Ascomycota; Sordariomycetes; Hypocreales; Nectriaceae.